GGGUAGUCCUAGCUCCCUAAAUUGUGAUCUAGAAAAUGGUAGGCAGGUUCCUUGACAAACCAAAAUAAAAAGUUCAUCCUGUUCCUUUAUCUCUUGGAAAGCCCGUUAACUUGCUAAGAGUGAUAUUCUCCAGUGGCUCAGGCAGGCAAGCUUUUCUUCGUAGUGCUAGUUCUUGUGCCACGGAAUGCAUGGCAGGUCGUUCCUCUGAAGUUGUACUCGUGCAUGCUAAGGCAACCCUAACUAUAAAAACAACCUGCUCUGCUAUGUGGCUUUUAGGAGAUGGAAGCCGCUGGUCU
Molecule: unclassified non-coding RNA, 296 nt
Filed under: Hevea brasiliensis (rubber tree)
Lineage: Eukaryota; Viridiplantae; Streptophyta; Magnoliopsida; Malpighiales; Euphorbiaceae
Source: RNAcentral